RNAcentral lists this ribosomal RNA (327 nucleotides) under Endogonaceae sp. RNAcentral describes it as "LSU rRNA". The record is from RNAcentral. Lineage: Eukaryota; Fungi; Mucoromycota; Endogonomycetes; Endogonales; Endogonaceae.
AAACGUUUGAAAUCAGUCAUGUGGGCGGGUAAUCAGCUUGGCCCUUGGGUCUUGUGCACUUUCCCGUCUCGCAGGUCAGCGUCGGUUUUGCUUUGCCGGAUAAAUGCCAAGGGAAUGUAGCUCCACCUUUCACGAGGAGGGGUGUUAUAGCCCUGGUAAAUACGGUGGUCGAGACCGAGGUCUGCAGUCGAUGCCUCUCGGGGCUGGGGACUCUAUCGCUUGUUCGCACCCGUGCCUAGACAGCUUGCUGACUAGGCGCGUGGUUGUGGGUGACACGGUGGCCUACCACACAUCGACUUAGGUCGCUGACAUAAUGGUUUUAAAUGA